RNAcentral lists this transfer RNA (65 nucleotides) under Erpobdella japonica. RNAcentral's name for it is "tRNA-Thr". The record is from RNAcentral. Lineage: Eukaryota; Metazoa; Annelida; Clitellata; Hirudinida; Erpobdellidae.
GAGUAGAAAGCUUUGCAUAAGCAUUGAUCUUGUAAAUCAAAGAUAAGUAUUUGUACUUCUAUUCA